Long non-coding RNA from Ictalurus punctatus (channel catfish), 1522 nucleotides. The record is from Ensembl. Lineage: Eukaryota; Metazoa; Chordata; Actinopteri; Siluriformes; Ictaluridae.
GAUCAAAGUUAAUAAGACAAAAAUGCAGCUUGUCAUGUUACAGAGAAACCGCAAAGCUCCCUGCUCUGACUGCUUUUCUGUAAGGGAACAAUUAAAGUUACAGCUUUACCUUUACCAGAUUAUUACAAAACGCUGACACUGGAGACCCCUUACAAAAAUUGUUAAAUAAAUAAAUGUUAAAUAAUGUCCUCACUUUAAACUUCAUAUCACUAAUUACACAUUGUUUAAAAAUCGUGUAUGUGUAUUCUACAAUGAUCAAGUAGGGUAAGUACUUUAAUAUAAGCUUUGCUGUCCGAUCCAUGCAGUUAUAGAAAAUUAAUCAACAUUUUUGUCCAAUAGGAUCAACUAAAUAAAUAAUACUGUUGGUCAUGUACAAUAAAUACACAAUGAGAUUGGUUUCAAUGAGUGCAUUGCAAGCAGUGCAGUAAUAUUUGAGGUCUAGUGUGAUUACUCCUCGGAAAAACACUCCUUAAUUGCUGACAUUGAACAUGAAGUUGAACUAUAAACUAAAUACAUUUUAUGUGCAAAAUCAUUAAAACAUUUCCUCGAGAUUACCUCAACUAACUUAUAACUCAGUUUAAUCUUAUAUUAAGUACUAUUUUUACACAAUGAGGAAAGCGUUUUGUGUGUUCUGAUAUCCCAGAUCAGUCAGGCCACAGUCACUGCGCCGAUUUGAACAUAUCGGAUCUUAGUUCCAAAUCAAAGCACUUCUAUUUCCUGUCAGAAUUGGUGUUCAAAGCAGAUAUGAACAAAGCUUGUUCUGUCAUUUCGUGAGCUGCUGCUCUGUGUGUCAAAGCAGGAGGAUGAAAAGAAGCCAAAGCAGAUUAAUACUGUAUAAUCUAACCAGUAGUCAUUUUGCAUUACCUCAGCCUCUUUUCUUUUUCUUUUUUUUUAUCAUUAUCAUUUGUCUUCUUGUUUUAAAAGACAGACAACACAGAGUUCAUUCUGACAAUCUGACACAAAGAGUUUGUUUAAGAGAAAUGGAUCUAGGGUGGUAAUUGUUAGUGUGUGUGUGUGUACUGUGUCUCAUCACUACAGCCAACCAUACUGCUAGAUUUUUAGUGCUUUAAACUGGUAAUUAAAGUAAAAAGACACAGUUUUGCAUGUGUUUUUCUUUUGAAAUGUAUAGACUCAUGCUACGGCUAGUGAUACGGCUAAUUAAAUGUAUGUUACAUUUUACCACUCUUCCACAUGUUCUUUAGUGGAAUGGAAGCUUGGUUAUUUUUCUUGACAUGAUUUGGUCUUAGCCAGUGUGCCAGAGCACACUGCUGCCAUGCUGCAGUCAGGCUGUGUGCUUGAAUCCAGAGUCAAUGGAGGCAUAGGUUUUGAUCACUGACACACCCCUAUAUAUAGCUUGAAAAGUGCCUUGAGACUCUAUGCACAGGAGGAGGUUCAGACCCAGACCAAUGCAGCCAAUUCCAAGACUGCUCCAGAGUUCCUGUCAAUCUUGCUAACAAGACUUUGUGGCCUAUUUUUGUUAUUUCACCUGCUAUUCCUUAGUUGGGGUGUUUGUGGUUUUUUG